Molecule: ribosomal RNA, 253 nt
Filed under: uncultured bacterium
Lineage: Bacteria
Description: partial 16S ribosomal RNA
Rfam family: Bacterial small subunit ribosomal RNA
Source: RNAcentral
UACAGAGGUGGCAAGCGUUGUUCGGAAUUACUGGGCGUAAAGGGCGCGUAGGCGGCUUGGUCAGUCCCGUGUGAAAUCCCUCGGCUCAACUGAGGAACUGCACGGGAAACUGCCUGGCUUGAGUUCGGGAGAGGGAAGCGGAAUUCCGGGUGUAGCGGUGAAAUGCGUAGAUAUCCGGAGGAACACCGGUGGCGAAGGCGGCCUUCUGGACAGUGACUGACGCUGAGACGCGAAAGCGUGGGGAGCAAACAGG